Molecule: non-coding RNA, 28 nt
Filed under: Rattus norvegicus (Norway rat)
Lineage: Eukaryota; Metazoa; Chordata; Mammalia; Rodentia; Muridae
Source: RNAcentral
UUCACUGCCGAAAGGACAGCCCCAGUGA